UUUUAUUGCUGCCAUGACUGAUGCCUGAGAAAAACAACCUAAAGGAAAGAAUUACAGACUUUGGUUUGCUGAGAUUUCAGUUCCUGUGUCCUUGGCCCUGCUGGUUCUGGGCCCAUGCUGCGGUAGAAUUUCUUGCUGUCCAGAAGGUGUGGAGGAGAAGACUGCUGAAUCCCAUGAAGACAGGAAGCAGGGAAUGAGGGCAGGGCUGCAGACCACCUUCUGCGACCAGCCAGGGGAAGACACGUGUAUCAGGCUAUGGAUGGUUACCAGGGUAACAUCAAUGAGGUGAAGAGUAUUGGCCAAAUGCACAGGACAGAAUGAGAAAGAAGAGCCUCAUACAUUCUAAGAGCAUGAACAUUGAUCAGUGGCUCUCAAACUUCCAAAUGCUGUGGGCCUUUCACUCAGCUCCAGUGACUCCCCGCAACCAUAAAAUUAUGUCUUGCAACUUCAUAAUUGUAAUUUUGCUACUGUUAUGAAUCAUAAUGUAAGUAUCUUAUCUACAGCAUAUUUGGUAUGCAACCCCAUGUAAAAAGGUCAUUCCCUCUCAAAGGGGUCUCGACCCACAGGUUGAGAAUCACUGUCAUAGAGCACUCUGUUUGUAAGCAGACUGCCCCUUGGAGAGAUUUUAAGACGCCCCUAAGUAGCCUCUGCUUUCUAAUGUUUUGGGACACCAAGUCUUUUUCAGGAGGCCAUAGCUCAGCUAUUUGGCCUCUUGGCAUCGGGUGAAAAGACCAUUGAAGAAAGGACAGGGAAUUAAAACCGGAGCUUAUCACCUGCUGAGGCAUGUCAGCAGGAAGCUGACCUUCACAGGGGCAUGCAUGUGCGUUGUCUUAAGGAUUUUAACUCAGAACAGCUAAUGUGUCAGGAGUAUUCUAUCUAGAAAAUCAUGUCACUGUUGGGAAUAAAUCCUGAUACUCUCCCA
This is a long non-coding RNA of Mus musculus (house mouse), 922 nucleotides long. RefSeq annotates it as predicted gene, 36689. Lineage: Eukaryota; Metazoa; Chordata; Mammalia; Rodentia; Muridae. The record is from RefSeq and is a predicted model, not a curated record. The transcript is spliced from 3 exons.